This 492-nucleotide ribosomal RNA is filed under the name uncultured bacterium. Its description in RNAcentral is "partial 16S ribosomal RNA". It matches the Rfam family "Bacterial small subunit ribosomal RNA", at positions 29 to 507 of the family's 1533-position model. The record is from RNAcentral.
AGUGAACGCUGGCGGUAGGCCUAACACAUGCAAGUCGAACGGCAGCACAGUAAGAUCUUGCUCUUACGGGUGGCGAGUGGCGGACGGGUGAGGAAUACAUCGGAAUCUACUUUUUCGUGGGGGAUAACGUAGGGAAACUUACGCUAAUACCGCAUACGACCUACGGGUGAAAGCAGGGGAUCUUCGGACCUUGCGCGAUUGAAUGAGCCGAUGUCGGAUUAGCUAGUUGGCGGGGUAAAGGCCCACCAAGGCGACGAUCCGUAGCGGGUCUGAGAGGAUGAUCAGCCACACUGGAACUGAGACACGGUCCAGACUCCUACGGGAGGCAGCAGUGGGGAAUAUUGGACAAUGGGCGCAAGCCUGAUCCAGCCAUACCGCGUGGGUGAAGAAGGCCUUCGGGUUGUAAAGCCCUUUUGUUGGGAAAGAAAAGCAGCAGGUUAAUACCCCGCUGUUCUGACGGUACCCAAAGAAUAAGCACCGGCUAACUUCGUG